GACGAACGCUGGCGGCGUGCUUAACACAUGCAAGUCGAACGGAAAGGCCUCUUUCGGGGGGUACUCGUGUGGCGAACGGGUGAGUAACACGUGAGUAACCUGCCCUUGACUUUGGGAUAACUUCAGGAAACUGGGGCUAAUACCGGAUAGGAGCUCCUGCUGCAUGGUGGGGGUUGGAAAGUCUCGGCGGUUGGGGAUGGACUCGCGGCUUAUCAGCUUGUUGGUGGGGUAGUGGCUUACCAAGGCUUUGACGGGUAGCCGGCCUGAGAGGGUGACCGGCCACAUUGGGACUGAGAUACGGCCCAGACUCCUACGGGAGGCAGCAGUGGGGAAUAUUGCACAAUGGGUGGAAGCCUGAUGCAGCAACGCCGUGUGCGGGAUGACGGCCUUCGGGUUGUAAACCGCUUUCGCUCAUGACGAAGCUUUGUGUGACGGUAGUGGGUAAAGAAGCACCGGCUAACUACGUG
RNAcentral lists this ribosomal RNA (467 nucleotides) under uncultured bacterium. Its description in RNAcentral is "partial 16S ribosomal RNA". It matches the Rfam family "Bacterial small subunit ribosomal RNA", at positions 28 to 507 of the family's 1533-position model. The record is from RNAcentral.